GAUGAACGCUGGCGGCGUGCCUAAUACAUGCAAGUCGAGCGGUAAGGCCUCUUCGGAGGUACACGAGCGGCGGACGGGUGAGUAACGCGUAAGAACAUACCCCAAACUGAGGGAUAACUGCUCGAAAGAGUAGCUAAUACCGCAUGUGCUCUAAGGAGUAAAGCUUCGGCGGUUUGGGAAUGGCUUGCGUCUGAUUAGCUAGUUGGUAAGGUAAUGGCUUACCAAGGCGACGAUCGGUAGCUGGUUUGAGAGGAUGAUCAGCCACACUGGGACUGAGACACGGCCCAGACUCCUACGGGAGGCAGCAGUAGGGAAUUUUCCACAAUGGGGGCAACCCUGAUGGAGCAACGCCGCGUGCAGGAUGAAGGCCUUCGGGUUGUAAACUGCUUUUGUCUGUGACGAAUAUGACGGUAGCAGACGAAUAAGGAUCGGCUAACUACGUG
Molecule: ribosomal RNA, 443 nt
Filed under: uncultured bacterium
Lineage: Bacteria
Description: bacterial SSU rRNA
Rfam family: Bacterial small subunit ribosomal RNA
Source: RNAcentral